Molecule: ribosomal RNA, 164 nt
Filed under: Anopheles funestus (African malaria mosquito)
Lineage: Eukaryota; Metazoa; Arthropoda; Insecta; Diptera; Culicidae
Description: eukaryotic small subunit ribosomal RNA
Rfam family: Eukaryotic small subunit ribosomal RNA
Source: RNAcentral
ACCGCCCGUCGCUAACUACCGAUGGAUUAUUUUAGUGAGGUUUUCUGGAGGCUUACCUCCGCGGUUCUUCGUGAGCUGCGCCUGGCAUGGCUGAGUUGGAACCGAACUGAUGAUUUAGAGGAAGUAAACGUCGUAACAAGGUUCCGUAGGUGAACCUGCGAAGG